RNAcentral lists this long non-coding RNA (503 nucleotides) under Rosa chinensis. RNAcentral describes it as "sRNA RchiOBHm_Chr4g0435861". Lineage: Eukaryota; Viridiplantae; Streptophyta; Magnoliopsida; Rosales; Rosaceae. The record is from RNAcentral.
UUUUUUUAAAUCCCGGUUUCUACUUUCCGUUGGUUGAAGCAAUUACAGUCAUCUGCCAUCAAACCCUUGAUAUCAGUCUCUCGCUCUCCCUUUAAUCACAGAACUCAUCCAUGCUCGAUCUCCCUCUCACAGAACCCAUCCAGUCGCCGCCACAUCUCGCGUAUCCCAUCUGAUCUCCCUCUAAUCACAAAACCCAUCCAGUCGCCGCCGCAUCUCGAUCUCCCUCUAAUCACAGCACCCAUCAGUCGCCGCAUCUCGAUCUCGGCCUCACUUGCAUCUCAUCAGGAUUUCGGAAGUGAAAUUGAAGCCUCAAUCAAGCAAGCCUCAAUCAAUUGUGAGUUGUGAAUUAUGACUAUAUGAGAUAGUUAGCAAAAACCUUAGAAGGAACCAAGAAAAACAGAACAGAUGGACGUGGUACUAUUAGCUUUGUUAUUUGUUUCAGCUGUACAAAUGAGUGGUGGCGCCUCAAGAUUGAGAAAAACAAGGAAUAUGGAAAGUUAAAG